This 468-nucleotide ribosomal RNA is filed under the name uncultured bacterium. Its description in RNAcentral is "partial 16S ribosomal RNA". It matches the Rfam family "Bacterial small subunit ribosomal RNA", at positions 28 to 507 of the family's 1533-position model. The record is from RNAcentral.
GACGAACGCUGGCGGCGUGCUUAACACAUGCAAGUCGAACGGAAAGGCCCUGCUUUUGUGGGGUGCUCGAGUGGCGAACGGGUGAGUAACACGUGAGUAACCUGCCCUUGACUUUGGGAUAACUUCAGGAAACUGGGGCUAAUACCGGAUAGGAGCUCCUGCUGCAUGGUGGGGGUUGGAAAGUUUCGGCGGUUGGGGAUGGACUCGCGGCUUAUCAGCUUGUUGGUGGGGUAGUGGCUUACCAAGGCUUUGACGGGUAGCCGGCCUGAGAGGGUGACCGGCCACAUUGGGACUGAGAUACGGCCCAGACUCCUACGGGAGGCAGCAGUGGGGAAUAGUGCACAAUGGGCGGAAGCCUGAUGCAGCAACGCCGCGUGCGGGAUGAAGGCCUUCGGGUUGUAAACCGCUUUCGCCUGUGACGAAGCGUGAGUGACGGUAAUGGGUAAAGAAGCACCGGCUAACUACGUG